RNAcentral lists this ribosomal RNA (568 nucleotides) under uncultured bacterium. RNAcentral describes it as "bacterial SSU rRNA". It matches the Rfam family "Bacterial small subunit ribosomal RNA", at positions 38 to 638 of the family's 1533-position model. The record is from RNAcentral.
GGCGGCGUGCCUAACACAUGCAAGUCGAACGAGAAAGUGGAGCAAUCCAUGAGUAAAGUGGCGACCGGGUGAGUAACACGUGACUAACCUACCCUCGAGUGUGGAAUAACCCCGGGAAACCGGGGCUAAUACCGCAUAACAUCGCAAGAUCAAAGGAGCAAUCCGCUUGAGGAGGGGGUCGCGGCUGAUUAGCUAGUUGGCGGGGUAACGGCCCACCAAGACGAAGAUCGGUAUCCGGCCUGAGAGGGCGCACGGACACACUGGAACUGAAACACGGUCCAGACUCCUACGGGAGGCAGCAGUGGGGAAUUUUGCGCAAUGGGGGAAACCCUGACGCAGCAACGCCGCGUGGAGGAUGAAGCCCCUUGGGGCGUAAACUCCUUUCGACCAAGACGAUGAUGACGGUACUGGUGGAAGAAGCACCGGCUAACUCUGUGCCAGCAGCCGCGGUAAUACAGAGGGUGCAAGCGUUGUUCGGAAUUAUUGGGCGUAAAGGGCGCGUACGCGGCGCGGUAAGUCACCUGUGAAAUCUCCCGGCUUAACUGGGAGCCUGCAGGCGAAACUACCG